Molecule: ribosomal RNA, 256 nt
Filed under: uncultured bacterium
Lineage: Bacteria
Description: partial 16S ribosomal RNA
Rfam family: Bacterial small subunit ribosomal RNA
Source: RNAcentral
GUCCACGCCGUAAACGAUGUCAACUAGCCGUUGGUAGGGUUACCUAUUAGUGGCGCAGCUAACGCGAUAAGUUGACCGCCUGGGGAGUACGGUCGCAAGAUUAAAACUCAAAGGAAUUGACGGGGGCCCGCACAAGCGGUGGAGCAUGUGGUUUAAUUCGAUGCAACGCGAAGAACCUUACCUACCCUUGACAUUGACAGAACCCUGUAGAGAUACGGGGGUGCCUUCGGGCCUGGAAAACAGGUGCUGCAUGGCU